RNAcentral lists this long non-coding RNA (1459 nucleotides) under Equus caballus (horse). Its description in RNAcentral is "lncRNA (ENSECAG00000048036.1)". The record is from RNAcentral. Lineage: Eukaryota; Metazoa; Chordata; Mammalia; Perissodactyla; Equidae.
CUUUCCCCUCGCCUUAGCAGGGCAAGAGUAGCCUCAGGCAUCUUGCAAUAAUUCUACCCCAAAUUGUUUCCCAGACAAGUUCGGUUACUCGAAAUUGGACGUCACUAAAUUCUUCCGCCAGAGUCCACGUGAGCCUAAGAAAAGAGGGAAACUUUUUCUACUCUGAGGGAGACAAACAUAUGCUAAAAAGAAAACUAGAGCGUCUCUCCUGUCUGCUCCUAAGGGCAACACCCUGGCCUUCCAUCCGCCAAAGAGAACAGAAGUGAAAUUCAAGGCAUGGACGUUACUCUCCUCUGGAGCCACGCGGGGGAGCCCGUGCCAGGGCGAACGCCGACACGGCGGCCCGGGACCGGCGACUUUCCUUGCGAGGAGACCCGCCCCGACCCCCUGCAGCCCCGAGAGCGUGCGAGAGCCCCGCCAGCGAGCCCUCACUCCGCGGGGUGGCGUUUAAUAAAACCGAAGUCAAAAUAAGGAAGAAAGAUGUGUUUUUAAAAGUAGAAAAUAUCUUCAAAUGAAAUUCUUUUCUUAAAAGCACUCCCCCUCCAAAAAACUAAGUAAAUAAAGUGGUGAAACUUGAGGAAUGUCAAACAGAAGAUAGAAGGGAAUGAACUAAGUCAGACCUACAGUUAGACCAACUGGAAGCGAGCGGACAAGAAGGAAAGGGAGGGAGCAGGGACGGAGGGAUGGAGGGAGGAAAUUAGCAAGCUUUCGUCUGUGGGUCUGCGCCUGGGUUGGGAAUGACCCGGGGUGAGCAGGAAGCCUGCACUCCGUUUAGGACCCUGUGAUUAUGUCAACCCUCAGAGUGACCUGUCUGGGGACAGACCUCUCAAAAGACUGGAGGUUUAACAAUAAAUAAGGAUUUGCUUCCAUUCGUAUACUUUUCGGCGCAAAGUUGUUUCAAAACACCGGACACCUGUGGGACCGAAUUGUUCAAUAAUCCUCAAAGAACAAAAAGCCACCGAGAAGCGUUUCAAGGGCAAUUAUGAUAACAGCCAGCACCUCGACUAGGCCGAGCAGGUCACAUUAACAAAAAUGGUCAAAUAGCCUAGGAGCAGAAGAAGGAGAUGCAAAUGGAAGAUGAAAGGACCUAAUAAUGCCAUCAUAGUGCCAGUGACCCAGGCCAAUCGCUUCACCUCUUUGUGCUUAUUUUCUUAACUGGAACAAGUGAGGGGGAUGAUACUUCAUUACCUUUUAUACAAGUGAUUGACAUACAAAGUGGAAAAUCAGGCCCUAUUUUAAAUAAAUUGAUUUUAUUCAUUUACUCCAUAAAUAUUUACUGAGAACCUACUAUGUGCCAAGCACUGGGCUAAAUAUGAGGGAUAUGACCACCAAUAAGUAUUUAUUGAAUCAAUAACUACUUGUUAAAUGACCCCUUCUUUAAAUAAUGGUAUCCCACUGAUUAGCUUGAAGGAAACAAAAUAAAUUAAUGAAUUGAGAUGUAGUUAUUUUAAGUUAGGCC